UACAGAGGUCCCAAGCGUUGUUCGGAUUCACUGGGCGUAAAGGGUGCGUAGGUGGUGAGGUAAGUCGGAUGUGAAAGCUCGGAGCUCAACUCCGAAAUGGCAUUGGAAACUACCUUGCUCGAGGGUUGAAGGGGGGACUGGAAUGCUUGGUGUAGCAGUGAAAUGCGUAGAUAUCAAGCGGAACACCAGUGGCGAAGGCGAGUCCCUGGACAACUCCUGACACUGAGGCACGAAAGCUAGGGGAGCAAACAGG
This 253-nucleotide ribosomal RNA is filed under the name uncultured bacterium. RNAcentral's name for it is "partial 16S ribosomal RNA". It matches the Rfam family "Bacterial small subunit ribosomal RNA", at positions 524 to 776 of the family's 1533-position model. The record is from RNAcentral.